Molecule: ribosomal RNA, 374 nt
Filed under: uncultured organism
Description: partial 16S ribosomal RNA
Rfam family: Bacterial small subunit ribosomal RNA
Source: RNAcentral
GUAGGUGGCAAGCGUUGUCCGGAAUUAUUGGGCGUAAAGCGCGCGCAGGCGGUUCUUUAAGUCUGAUGUGAAAGCCCACGGCUCAACCGUGGAGGGUCAUUGGAAACUGGAGAACUUGAGUACAGAAGAGGAAAGCGGAAUUCCACGUGUAGCGGUGAAAUGCGUAGAGAUGUGGAGGAACACCAGUGGCGAAGGCGGCUUUCUGGUCUGUAACUGACGCUGAGGCGCGAAAGCGUGGGGAGCAAACAGGAUUAGAUACCCUGGUAGUCCACGCCGUAAACGAUGAGUGCUAAGUGUUAGGGGGGUUUUCCGCCCCCCUUAGUGCUGCAGCUAACGCAUUAAGCACUCCGCCUGGGAGUACGGCCGCAAGGCAG